Molecule: non-coding RNA, 46 nt
Organism: Xenopus tropicalis (tropical clawed frog)
Lineage: Eukaryota; Metazoa; Chordata; Amphibia; Anura; Pipidae
Source: Rfam
ACAAAGGCUCUUUUCAGAGCCACCGACACUUUCUGGGAAUGAGCUU